UGGGGAAUUGUUCGCAAUGGGCGCAAGCCUGACGACGCAACGCCGCGUGGAGGAUGAAGGUCUUCGGAUUGUAAACUCCUGUUGAUCGGGACGAAAAGCUUCAACCUAAUACGUUGAAGACUGACGGUACCGGUUGAGGAAGCCACGGCUAACUCUGUGCCAGCAGCCGCGGUAAUACAGAGGUGGCAAGCGUUGUUCGGAUUUACUGGGCGUAAAGCGCGUGUAGGCGGGCCGUUAAGUUGGGGGUGAAAUCCCGAGGCUCAACCUCGGAACUGCCUUCAAAACUGGCGACCUGGACUCAAGCAGAGGCAAGUGGAAUUGCGAGUGUAGAGGUGAAAUUCGUAGAUAUUCGCAGGAACACCAGUGGCGAAGGCGACUUGCUGGGCUUGUAGUGACGCUGAGACGCGAAAGCGUGGGGAGCAAACAGGAUUAGAUACCCAUGUAGUCCCUGAGCGGGCUGGCAAGGCGCAU
This 471-nucleotide ribosomal RNA is filed under the name uncultured bacterium. RNAcentral describes it as "bacterial SSU rRNA". It matches the Rfam family "Bacterial small subunit ribosomal RNA", at positions 355 to 825 of the family's 1533-position model. The record is from RNAcentral.